AUGCAAACACUAGGCAGCAAGCCAUCUUGCUCAGCAGCUUUGUUCUACCUCUACUGCCUACUGUUAGUGUCAAGCCUUCAUCUCUUGGAAGAAGCACAUGCAGCACGGCAUGGAGGGAUCUCGCUGAGGUCUCAGCACAUGGCCCUCCUCCACUGGAAAGCUACACUUGUGAGUCCACCGCUGCAGAUGAGUUCCUGGCAGGAAAACACCAGCCCGUGCAACUGGACGGGCAUCAUGUGCACGGCUAUUCGCCAUGGUCGUCGCAUGCCCUGGGUGGUGACCAGCAUCUCCCUGCCGGAUGCUGCCAUCCGUGGCCAGCUCGGUGAGCUCAACUUCUCGGCACUUCCAUUCCUUACAAAUAUCGACCUUCAUAACAACAGUCUCCAUGGUACACUGCCCGCUAAUAUCAGCUCUCUGUCAGCACUUUCUGAUCUUAACCUUAAGCAGAACCAGCUCACAGGGGAAAUUCCUUAUGAGAUUGGUGGCCUGCAAAGUCUCAGGCAGCUUUCUCUCUCAUUUAACAACCUCACAGGAAAUAUCCCUGCAUCUCUGGGCAACCUAACAAUGUUAACUUUUCUUGCCAUUCACCAAACCAUGGUAUCAGGUCCAAUUCCAGAGGAGAUUGGACGGCUUGUAAACCUACAAAAUCUACAGCUAAGCAACAGCACCUUAAGCGGCAUCAUACCAAAAACCCUUGGAAAUCUGACCCAGCUAAUUGGUUUGUACCUGUUUGGUAAUCAACUCUCAGGGCCUAUACCCCAAGAACUAGGACGGCUAGUCCAUCUGCAAAUUCUUGAGCUUGAUUCAAAUUAUUUUUCAGGUCCAAUUCCAAUCUCUAUAACUAAUCUCACUAAGAUUAACGCAAUUUUUCUCUUUGAAAAUCAAAUCACGGGUCCAAUACCUUCAGAGUUGGGCAACUUGCUAAAUCUCCAGUCUUUAGUCUUAUUCGACAACCAAAUAUCUGGCUCUAUUCCUGACAGCCUAGGAAAUAUAACCAAGCUAGUAGUACUACACCUCUAUGAAAAUCAGAUAAGUGGUUCCAUCCCCCAGCAAAUUGGCAAUCUGAUAAACCUCAAAUCCUUAGCCUUGCACCAGAACCAAAUUUCCGGAUCAAUACCAAAAACUUUUGGGAAGUUGCAAAGCGUCCGAACACUGCAAAUGUAUGAUAACAAAUUAUCAGGUUCUCUUCCUCACGAAUUCGGAGAUCUCAUAAGCCUUGACAAUCUUGGGUUAGCUAACAACUCACUCUUAGGACCUUUACCCGCAAAUAUAUGUUCAGGUGGCAGACUUCAAAUUCUCACUGUCCAAUCUAAUAUGUUCACUGGCCCCAUUCCAAGAAGUUUAAAGACAUGUACUAGUCUGCUUAAAAUUAACAUUGAAAAGAACCAACUAACAGGAGAUAUAACUAGGCAUUUUGGUGUGUAUCCACAACUCACACUGAUGCGCUUGGCAUCAAAUAGACUCACCGGGCAGAUCUCACCAAAUCUAGGUGCAUGUACCCAGCUAACUGCCCUAACUCUAAGCAAAAAUAUGAUCACGGGUUCCAUACCUCCAAUCCUUUCUAAAUUGUCUAACCUAGGAGUACUAAAACUUGAUUAUAAUCAUCUCAACGGUAAAAUUCCACAAGAAUUAUACACUUUAACUAAUCUGUACAUGCUGAACUUAUCAUCGAACCACUUAUCUGGAUCCCUACCUACACAGAUAGAAAAACUAAGCAAUCUAGGAUAUUUAGAUAUUUCUGGGAAUAGACUGGGUGGAUUAAUACCUGAGGAACUAGGGGCCUGCAUACACCUACAAUCCUUGAAGAUCAACAACAACUUUUUCACUGGGAGUUUGCCUGGUACGAUUGGAAAGUUAGCGGGUCUGCAGAUCAUGUUAGAUGUGAGCAACAAUAACCUCAGUGGCAUAUUGCCGCAGCAACUUGGGAAGUUGGGAAUGCUAGAAUUUCUGAAUUUAUCCCAUAAUCAGUUCAGUGGCAGCAUUCCAUCCUCCUUUGCAAGCAUGUUGAGCCUUUCAACACUCGAUGUGUCCUACAAUGCCUUGGAAGGACCAAUCCCAAUAACACGACUACUCCAAAAUGCUUCAGCAAGUUGGUUUCUUCCCAACAAAGGUCUGUGUGGUAAUCUCUCUGGCCUGCCACCUUGUUAUUCAACUCCAGUAGAUGGUCACCAUAAACGAAAGACAUUAAAUGUGCUUUUUCCAAUUGUUCUUGUGGUGGGUUUCGGCAUUAUUGGUGCAAUUGUUGUCGUAAUAAUGCUUAGCCGAAACAAGAAUAAACCUGAAGAAAGUGUUACUCCUGAAGCAAGGGAACUAUUCUCUGUUUGGAAUUUUGAUGGAAGAUUAGCAUUUGACGAUAUUGUAAGGGCAACAGAAGACUUCGAUGAUAAGUACAUCAUUGGAACAGGAGGAUACGGCAAAGUCUAUAAGGCAGAGCUUCAAGACGGGCAGCUAGUUGCUGUGAAGAAGCUUCAUCAAACUGAAGAAGAGUUGGAUGAUGAAAGAAGAUUUCGUAGUGAAAUGGAAAUCUUAACACAGAUCCGACAACGAUGCAUUGUCAAAAUGUAUGCAUUCUGCUCCCAUCCAGCGUAUAAAUUUCUAGUCUAUGACUACAUUCAGCAGGGAAGCCUACGCAGGAUAUUGGAAGAUGAGGAGCUAGCAAAGGAAUUGGAUUGGCACAAGAGAAUUUCUCUUGCAAAUGAUGUGGCUCAAGCAAUAUCUUAUUUGCACCAUGAAUGCAGUCCACCUAUAAUCCAUCGAGAUAUCACGAGCAGCAACAUCUUACUUGAUACAACCUUCAAGGCUUUUGUCUCGGAUUUCGGCACAGCAAGGAUUCUUAAGCCCGAUUCAUCAAACUGGAGUGCACUAGCAGGAACAUAUGGCUACAUAGCUCCUGAGCUAUCAUACACAUCUGUUGUGACGGAGAAAUGUGACAUCUAUAGCUUUGGCGUGGUUGUGCUAGAGCUAGUCAUGGGGAAGCAUCCAAGGGAUCUAUUAGACGGUAGUUUACCAAGCAAGGAACAAGCUAUACUGGUAAAUGAUAUUCUGGACCAACGGCCGACAACACCAACCAUGUGGGAGGCAUACCACACACUCAUCCAGCGACCCUCUUCUAAUCCAUAUCCCGUGCCUUUCAGCGCACUUGCAUUAUGGCAAGUAAUGAAUGCAUGCUGA
RNAcentral lists this ribosomal RNA (3171 nucleotides) under Triticum aestivum (bread wheat). Its description in RNAcentral is "partial small subunit ribosomal RNA". Lineage: Eukaryota; Viridiplantae; Streptophyta; Magnoliopsida; Poales; Poaceae. The record is from RNAcentral.